AGAUGGAUAGCUCAAUAUUGAUAGAGCGCAUGAUUCGCAAUCAUGAAGUGUUGGUUCAAUUCCAACUCCAUCUC
Molecule: transfer RNA, 74 nt
Filed under: Moorena sp. SIO4A3
Lineage: Bacteria; Bacillati; Cyanobacteriota; Cyanophyceae; Coleofasciculales; Coleofasciculaceae
Description: tRNA-Ala
Rfam family: tRNA
About the family: Transfer RNA (tRNA) molecules are approximately 80 nucleotides in length. Their secondary structure includes four short double-helical elements and three loops (D, anti-codon, and T loops). Further hydrogen bonds mediate the characteristic L-shaped molecular structure. tRNAs have two regions of fundamental functional importance: the anti-codon, which is responsible for specific mRNA codon recognition, and the 3' end, to which the tRNAs corresponding amino acid is attached (by aminoacyl-tRNA synthetases). tRNAs cope with the degeneracy of the genetic code in two manners: having more than one tRNA (with a specific anti-codon) for a particular amino acid; and 'wobble' base-pairing, i.e. permitting non-standard base-pairing at the 3rd anti-codon position.
Source: RNAcentral